CAAAAUAAUAAUUUAUUACAAAUAAAAUACUAAUAUGAUAAACAGUUCACGAGAGGAGUUUACAUCGAUCAUUACGAUGUUAUUAUUUUCAUACACAAUGGCAAAGAUGUCCCGGCAAAACAGAAACGAAUUAAAAUUGAAAAUUAUUUGGAGGCUUAGAGAAAAAUGAAAAACAUUGAGGUAUGACAAUGGAAAGAGUAUUUGUUAAGGGUAUUAAAAGCCUUCCAAUAGAUACAACAUUUAUUGUCUAAGCUGCAGUUGAAAAUGCAGUUAUUUUCCAAGACUAGUCAAAUUAUGAUACACUCAUGUUGGUUUUCAGAAGUAUCGACUAUCGAGUAUGGACGAUGAAUAUGAUUCAAGUAUAACAACAGAGAUGCCUCAUUGACAAUAAUCAAGAAUAAAGAAACGAACUGGUUGCAUUUGAUUUCAACAUCAGUUUAAAAUUAAAUAGGCCAAUUAAGCAAACAUUUUUAAUUAAUUUUGUGCUAUUUCAUUUUUGUUUAGAUAUUUUUAGUUAUUUUUGUUUGUAUUAAAACUCCAGUUUUAUGAUUUAAUCAAUGGAAUCAAUGAAAAUGAUUCUUAAGUAUAAUUAAACCAAAAACAAAUGUUAAUUAAUGUUUAAGUUUAAAUUAUGAAAAUAACAGAUUACAAUAUAAUAAUAACUUAUUCUGUUAUAAAUUAAAAAAAAACUGCUUCACCAUAAAUAUUUUCUUUUAUAUAAUUUAAACAUAUGAUAUUUUAACUUAGGUUAAAAUCUCUGUGAUUUUGUUUUUCCCAAAACAAUUUUUAAAAACAAUUGAUGAAUGUAAAACAUUCUCUUAAGGAUUUUAUUUUCUGAGUAUUUUUUGGUGCUUGCAAUUAUUAAGUAAUAAUUAAUAAUCAAUAUAUUGGAUAAUGAAGGUAUAAUUUAUAUGAUAAUAUUGUAUUAUGGUACAUAUUGUGAUUUAAUAUUGUAUAAAUAAAAUGUUUUUGUAUAAAAAGUGUAACAGAUAAAUAAAUAGAUACAUAUAUUAUAUUUUUAGGAAAAAUACUAGACAAUAUUCUCUAUUUAAUGAAGAAAUAAUACUUUAUCUUUUAGACAUAUAAAUAAUAAAUUGAAAUAAUAGAUAAAAUACUUAAAAUACCUUUAAGUAUUAGUUGUUACAAGUUCAUAAUAAGUUAGGAAACACAAAAAUAUUUCAUGAACAUUUUUAACUUUAAAACCAUGAUUGAAUAAAUAGAUAAUUUGUCAGUUUAAACUUAAAAGUAAGCUUAUUUGUUGUUUUAAAUUAUUUAGAUAUCCUUUUCAAAUUAUAUUAUAAUUAAAAUAAGGUAUGAUUACAUUUUGUGAAUGCCUUGCUAAAAAAAAAAGUAUAAUGGUUUUUUCCCCCCCAUUAAAUGUAAUACCCGCAUGUGUUGUCUUUAUCUUACUAAUGUAUAUAAUAACAAAUAUGCGUUCAGCGAAACACAUUUUGUAAUGUUAGCUUUAAUAUUAGAGUAAAUUUACCUAUUAUUAAAUUUAAAGGUAAGAAUAUUAUCAAUAAAAGUAUAUGUCAUUAUUUAGAUAAUAUUUAUGCAUACUUGUUAGUAUAUACGUUAUUAAGAUAGAGACAACACAUUUGGGUAUGGCGUCCUCUUAAGUAUAAAUUGUUAAAAGUAUUAAUAUACAUAUAUUAGAGGUCUCGAUUGAAAAUGUAAAUCAAUGCAUCAGUGAACAUGGAGUUUGUGUACACACGACUGAAAAUUUUUAUUCCUAUAAACCUACAACACAUGUGAAUUCAAGUGUUUCAGUAUUGUUCACAUAUUUUAGUUUAUGCAACAUGUAUUAAUAUUUAUAUUAAAUUUAAUGUAGAUUUUGUACAAUUAAAAUUUAUUUUAUUUAUGUUAUUUCAUGUGAAUACAAGAAAUAGGAAAAGGAAACUAAUAUAUUAUAUUAUAUUACUAGCAAAAUUAUGUCAUUUAAUUUGGAAAAAAAAGGAUUUAUAUAUAAAUCUUACCUAAAACCCUUAGGUAAAGAUUAAAAUCAUAAUUUGGUUAACCUCCAAAAAAUCUUAAAUAAGUUAAAAACUAUCAAUAUAUUUUUGUAUUAUUAUUUGUUUACUCAUAUAAAUCAAAUAUUAAUUAGACUUUAAAAUUAAAACUUGUUUUGUAAAUUUUAUUUUAUAAGUUUAAAUACUUGAAAGAGUUUUAAAAAGAAUACUAUUAUUUUAAAUUAGUUAUGUAAAAUAAAUUAAACAAUUUUACCUUAUGGUGAGAUUGACAAUGCUAUAAGCCUAUAAAUGUAACAAUUGGUGUGUACUGUGUAAUAAUGGUAUAUUAUAUUAUAUUUAUAUGUAUUAUAAUUUAUUUUAUAAAAAUGUCAGUGAGUUAGACCCAUUAGUCAUAUAACAAU
Molecule: long non-coding RNA, 2371 nt
Organism: Rhopalosiphum padi (bird cherry-oat aphid)
Lineage: Eukaryota; Metazoa; Arthropoda; Insecta; Hemiptera; Aphididae
Exons: 4
Source: RefSeq, a predicted model, not a curated record